AGUGAACGCUGGCGGUAGGCUUAACACAUGCAAGUCGAACGGCAGCACAGUAAGAGCUUGCUCUUACGGGUGGCGAGUGGCGGAAGGGUGAGGUAUAUAUCGGAAUCUACUUUUUCGUGGGGGUUAACGUAGGGAAACUUACGCUAAUAUCGCAUAUGACCUACGGGUGAAAGCAGGGGAUCUUCGGACCUUGUGCGAUUGAAUGAGCCGAUGUCGGAGUAGAUAGUUGGCGGGGUAAAGGCCCACCAAGGCGACGAUCCGUAGCUGGUCUGAGUGGAUGAUCGGCCACACGGGAAGUGAAACGCGGUCCAGACUCCUACGGGAGGCAGCAGUGGGGAAUAUUAGACAAUAGGCGCAAGCCUUGUCCAACCAUACCGCGUGUGAGAAGAAAACCUUCCGGUUGUGAAGCCCUUUUGUGGGGAAAGAAAAGCAGCAGGUUGAUACGCCGCUGUUCUGACGGUACCCAAAAAAUAAGCACCGGCUAACUACGUG
This 492-nucleotide ribosomal RNA is filed under the name uncultured bacterium. RNAcentral's name for it is "partial 16S ribosomal RNA". It matches the Rfam family "Bacterial small subunit ribosomal RNA", at positions 29 to 507 of the family's 1533-position model. The record is from RNAcentral.